Molecule: ribosomal RNA, 486 nt
Filed under: uncultured bacterium
Lineage: Bacteria
Description: partial 16S ribosomal RNA
Rfam family: Bacterial small subunit ribosomal RNA
Source: RNAcentral
AUUGAACGCUGGCGGCAUGCCUUACACAUGCAAGUCGAACGGCAGCACGGGUGCUUGCACCUGGUGGCGAGUGGCGAACGGGUGAGUAAUACAUCGGAACAUGUCCUGUAGUGGGGGAUAGCCCGGCGAAAGCCGGAUUAAUACCGCAUACGAUCCACGGAUGAAAGCGGGGGACCUUCGGGCCUCGCGCUAUAGGGUUGGCCGAUGGCUGAUUAGCUAGUUGGUGGGGUAAAGGCCUACCAAGGCGACGAUCAGUAGCUGGUCUGAGAGGACGACCAGCGACAAGUGAAAUGAGAAACGGGGCAGACGCCGACGGGAGGCAGCAGUGGGGAAGAGGGCAAAAAGGGCGCAAGCAUGAGGCAGCAAUGCCGAGUGUAGGAAGACGGGCGUCGGGUGGUAAAGGAGUUGAAGCGGGGAGGAAGGGAGUAAAGGUAAGAAAUUUGGUGAUGGACGUGACCGGAAGAAGAAGAACAGGCUAACGCCGGG